Long non-coding RNA from Mytilus trossulus (common blue mussel), 854 nucleotides. RefSeq lists it as uncharacterized. The record is from RefSeq and is a predicted model, not a curated record. The transcript has 3 exons. Lineage: Eukaryota; Metazoa; Mollusca; Bivalvia; Mytilida; Mytilidae.
ACACUUGCCGUCAGUAUUUGAGUAUAUUGAUUAAGAAGGUAUAGAAGAUUAAUGCACGCACACUAUAAUCCACCACUGGCCUAAAUAGUUAGUCCGCAAACAACGAGGGUCAUAAAAACCCAGCACUUUGAACACAGCCACCGGCAUGCAUGGUGUGAAUCUGAAAGCUUCCUACUAUCCAUUUCUACCCAUAGAAAACUUUUGCCUUUCAUUUAUCAACAAUGAAAUAUGUUGAUAUUAAUGGUAUAUAAGAAUUAUUGGGGAAUUCAAACCAUUCCUAUUGUUGUCAGCAAGAUGAAAAGGACAAGUAUGCAGUUCAAAAUUGAAGAUGUGGAUAAGUUGAGGUUCUAGGUCUUACCUUUGCAGAUUUUCAUAUUUUGCAUGAAUGAAUUCAAAGGUUAUAUGAUCAUGAUGAUGGACAGCAGAGAAAGAAAAAACAACUUUUCAAUUAUCCUGCUCCUGGAUAAAUGUAAAACAUCUUGUUUUACGAAGGAUUGAAAUUCACCACCUAGAAUAAAUGGAGAAAACAUAGAAACAAGACCAGAAUAAAUUCAAAGACAAAAGUUGGAUUAGUUAUUAUUUUCAUCACUCAGUCAAUGAUUUGAAGUUCUUUUAAAUUCAAAAAAAUAUUGAAACCACAAUAAUGUCAAAGUUCUGUGCCGAAUGUCCAAAAAGUGGACUAUACCAUCAAACAAUGCUGGAUGAUAAGAAACUAUUAAUGUUUUGUGUUGAGAGAUAUUGUGAAAAAAAAUAGAUUUACUUAAAUAGCUACUAAUAUGUUAAGCCUAACAAUAGAGUUUUUAUUGAUUUCAAAUGGCAAAUAAUUGUGUUUCAAGAAAGUAUUCUAUAAUUCA